Small nuclear RNA from Anopheles sinensis, 199 nucleotides. It matches the Rfam family "U4 spliceosomal RNA". Rfam says of the family: U4 small nuclear RNA (U4 snRNA) is a component of the major U2-dependent spliceosome. The structure of U4 snRNA from yeast and human has been reported. U4 snRNA presents a k-turn RNA motif in the 5p-SL related to recognition of Snu13 protein. The record is from Rfam. Lineage: Eukaryota; Metazoa; Arthropoda; Insecta; Diptera; Culicidae.
AGCUUUGCGCAUCGGAGAUAUCGUAGUCAAUGAGGUACAACCGAGGUGCAAUUAUUGCUAGUUGAAAUUUGUAAGUUGCAUUGCUACUUGCAGUUGGUCGAUUGCAUUUCGUCAAUUGUCUACGCAAACAACACGAUGAAUGUUUUUUUGAUAUGAUAAAUCGGAUUUACUACGGAAUUUUUAACAUAAUUUCGCAUGU